GGUUCAUCGAGAGUGGCGGAGGGACUGGCCCCAUGAUGCCACGGCAACCUCUCCCGCGGGGAGAACGGUGCCAAAUCCAGCGGACACUCGGUCCGAGAGAUGAAGC
This 106-nucleotide non-coding RNA is filed under the name Symbiobacterium thermophilum. Its description in RNAcentral is "SAM-I sequence". It matches the Rfam family "SAM riboswitch aptamer (S box leader)". From Rfam's summary of the family: The SAM riboswitch is found upstream of a number of genes which code for proteins involved in methionine or cysteine biosynthesis in Gram-positive bacteria. RNAcentral also lists the same sequence under 1 other name. The record is from RNAcentral. Lineage: Bacteria; Bacillati; Bacillota; Clostridia; Eubacteriales; Symbiobacteriaceae.